RNAcentral lists this ribosomal RNA (2688 nucleotides) under Triticum aestivum (bread wheat). Its description in RNAcentral is "partial small subunit ribosomal RNA". Lineage: Eukaryota; Viridiplantae; Streptophyta; Magnoliopsida; Poales; Poaceae. The record is from RNAcentral.
GCCCAAUCCGCGCGCGCGCUCCGCUCCCAAUCCUAGUCGCGGGGUUGCUGCGCCAGAGCCACACCCGCACCAACCCUAGCCGCCACACCUCUCCUUCCUCCCUCGCUCGACAGCGCCGCACCCAUCCCUCCUUGCUGCUCGUCCGGAUAGCCGCCGGCCGCCGCAUCCCUUCUCCCCCUUCCUCCUCCUUCCUCCUUCCCGCUGGUGCCGACGAGCGCGACCACGCCCUCCUCCGGUCCUUCCUCCCCCCCGCAGCCAGGAGUCGAGCCCUCGUCGCGAGGAAGCCACGGAAGGAGGAGCUCAACCGGGCGUCGCCGGCUGGAGAAGGAGGAGAGCCGCCGCGCCACCACCCUCCUCCGGUCCUUACUCCCCCCCGCAGCCCCAAAAGCUCUGCCGGUUCUUUCGGCGAGAUCCACCGUCUCCUGAGGUCCUUAUCCACCCCAGCUCGCGAGGAAGCCUCGGGAGGAGGCGAGCCCUCGUCGCGAGGAAGCCGCGGAAGGAGGAGCUCAACCGGGCGUCGCCGGCCAGAGAAGGAGGAGAGGCGCGGAUGCCUGCCAGGGAGGCGGAUCGGCUCGUCUCCGCGGCUGGAAAGGGCUCGGUGUUACAAUUACAACAUGGGGCUUCAAGUGUCUAUUACUGUGGAACACCAAUAUCCGUGCAUUUUAGUUACGACCAAGUGCCACACCAAUGAAUGUGAAUGUCUGUUCAAGUAAUAAGUAUCCAUGGCAGCAUGUUGUGCUUUGUCGGCACAUUCUUGCAUGUGUGAGGUCGCAGAUGAAGAAGCACCGAAUGCUCAUUAUAUUCUCCUCUGCUCUGUUCUUCAAUAGACAUAUUUGCUGUUUAGUAUGGAUGCCUCCAUGGUUGCAUAGGCAUCCAUGGUUCUGCAAGGAGGUUAUCUACGCCGUUCUGUUUUCUAUAGAUGUCUAAUUAGCCCUAACAGAUAGACAGAGGUCUCUACUGGCUCAGAAUACUUGACAUGAGGCACGUGUAAAAUUGAUUGUCUCUGGUUACUCUCGUGAUCUGUAUCCAGAGGGCAAGUCAGGUCUUGGAAUGCUGAGGUGAGACUUUCCAUGGCCUUUGUUUUUCUUGUUGGGUGGAUUACACGUUACUUCCUUGGAUGUUUAAAGAUUAUUAUAUCCUUGCUCCCCUUUUUAUCGGCAAGCAUUCUCUCAUCUUCUGGUAAUUUGAGUAAGAUGCAACACACUAAUGCUUUCUUAGUCUGGUUUGUUCUUGCAAAAAAUAAUUGAAGUGUGCAGACAGGCAGCAUGAAAACACUAAAGAGAAGUUUCAUACGUACUAAUAGCUGGAGUGAUUUCAUACCUGUAGUAACCGUCUUAGAAUAAAUAAGUUUCAACUAUUUCUAAAGAUAUUAGACCAUAAGAUUAUUCUUAAGUAAAGAUGUUACAUGCUUCUGUUUCUGCAAUAUGAGUAUAUGAUUUCAUUUUCCUUCUUUCCCAGUUAUAAAUUUAUUGGCAUCAAAGUAGAGCUUCAGGUUUAUGGUUCAGUAUAUCAUUGCAAAGUAGUUUAUGGCUCAGUAUAUCACUGCGGGUUCCUUACACCGUCAAAUUUCAAUGUUUUUGUAUUUUUGUCGAUGGAACCAUGUUCUUUGACUAUAAAGUAGCAGAGAUUUCUUUUCUUAUCAAUUCUAAUCCCUUUUUGAUGCAUUGUUGGUUUGCUAUCAAACUCUCAAAAAAGGAAAAACAACUUUACUCUGGUUUUUUGAGAACCUUCCUGUAGAGGACCUCGACAGAGACAAAUAUGCGGUCAAGGAUAUAUUCGAUGGAUUUUCAUGCCAAACUUGGAGGAUAUUUUUGCAGAUAGUUUGGUACUCUCGUGGUUAUUUUUGUGGUGAUUUUCCUUCUAUUCGUUACUUGGUAACCAUCUACUGCAACUCAGCUAUUGUCCAGAUGCUGACCUUAUGGCCUUCCAUUCUCACUAUGAUUCCCCGAGAUGCGCUAUUAGUAGGAAUCCACUUUCUAAUAAAAAUUUGGCAGUCAACUUGAAAAGAGUCAUUUAUCUAGCUACAACAACCUUCCUUGCUUUUGCAAAUAAUACUUUAUGGUUGACACUAUAGUCUAUACCUGCCAAAUAUUUACACGUUAGUAUAACCAGAAAGUCAGAUGAUCGUUCCAUGUUGGUUAGCCGUGAUAAAUCAAAUUUCUAGAGUAGCAGAUGAUUCGUGUCAGGUUUCUUUUAGAGAUUGAAAUAUGUCUUGACUCUGAAAUAAGUAGUACAAUGUCAAGUUCUGCAUAGGUGAAAGCAUACUGUGCAAAACCGGACAGCCUUCUAAAGCUCUGAAACUACUAUUUGUUUUUGUUUUUUGCGGUUAACUACUACUUGUUGUGUGAUCAGUAACUCUUUUUAUACUCUGUAUAUGCUUUCUACUUACUAGGAAAAAAUGCAUGAGAACGAUGGCCUAGAGGAUGUGAAUUGCACUGAAAUAUAUGCAGGUUUCUUGCCAAACUAACUGCCACUAUUAUAUUUCCUGGCGAACUUUUUAGUCUGUACAGUUGAAUAGUUGGAAGUUGUUUUCUACUAUCUAUAGAGGUUUUAUCCAAACUAUUAGCUGCCUGACUUGCUUUUUCAAAAUACACCGUCCUGAUAGACAUUUCCAUGGGAUGUUAGAAAAAUAUAUGUGAAUUUGCAUACAUUUUCUAAAUUCCUAUCUUUACUUAUCCAUGCUUCCUC